Mycena filopes is the source of this 84-nucleotide non-coding RNA. Lineage: Eukaryota; Fungi; Basidiomycota; Agaricomycetes; Agaricales; Mycenaceae. The record is from the annotation of a GenBank genome assembly.
GGCGCCAUAGCUCAGCUGGGAGAGCAGCAGACUGAAGUAAUUCAGUGCAUCUGAAGGUCCGGUGUUCAAUCCACCGUGUUGCCA